UAAGGCGCUCAGCCGAGCGGUACUAAUUGCCCAGUAGAGCUCCGAGAGGGCCGCGCCCUUAGCGGGCAGACGCCGCUUCGUCCGAAGAAUGUCAAAAUACCAGACAUUAGAUAUGAGAUAUUAGAUUUUAGAUGGCUAACGCCAGAAAGGUCUAACAUCUAGGUACUAAAAUCUAACGUCUAAAAGAAACCUGGCGAUGUCCUAUACGGACGUAAGCCGAAAAGACUUAGGUGGCUAGGCGGCGGGGCUCCACCCCUUCCCAUUCCGAACAGGGCCGUUAAGCCCGCCAGCGCCGAUGGUACUGCUACACCAAGCGGGAGAGUAGGUGGCCGCCAAAC
This 338-nucleotide ribosomal RNA is filed under the name Acetobacteroides hydrogenigenes. The record is from RNAcentral. Lineage: Bacteria; Pseudomonadati; Bacteroidota; Bacteroidia; Bacteroidales; Rikenellaceae.